AACAGUAGAUGCUUUGGCCUGGGUUAACCUUGAGGUUGAUUGGAUUGUGGACUCUAGUUAAGAACAUCAUUUGAUUGGCAAUCCCUCUCAAUUCUUGUCUAUUCAUGACUACAAAUAGAAUGAAGCUAUAAUCACUACUGAUAAUACAGUUCUUCCAAUAGAAAAAGGAAGGCAUUGUCACCCUUCAUAGUGUGAAUAAAGAACCUAUCACUCUAAACAGUGUCUACCAUGUA
RNAcentral lists this unclassified non-coding RNA (233 nucleotides) under Hevea brasiliensis (rubber tree). The record is from RNAcentral. Lineage: Eukaryota; Viridiplantae; Streptophyta; Magnoliopsida; Malpighiales; Euphorbiaceae.